RNAcentral lists this ribosomal RNA (428 nucleotides) under Mortierella sp. 6717-S2. RNAcentral describes it as "eukaryotic LSU rRNA". The stretch from base 1 to 124 matches the Rfam family "5.8S ribosomal RNA", at positions 31 to 154 of the family's 154-position model. Lineage: Eukaryota; Fungi; Mortierellomycota; Mortierellomycetes; Mortierellales; Mortierellaceae. The record is from RNAcentral.
CAUCGAUGAAGAACGCAGCGAAAUGCGAUACGUAAUGUGAAUUGCAGAAUUCAGUGAAUCAUCGAAUCUUUGAACGCAUAUUGCGCUCUUUGGUAUUCCGAAGAGCAUGCUUGUUUGAGUAUCAGUAAACACCUCAAAGCCUUUUUUUGUUAAGAGACUUUGGACUUGAGCAAUCCCAACACUUUAUUUACUAGAGUGGCGGGUUGCUUGAAAUGCAGGUGCAGCUGGACAUUCUCCUGAGCUAAAAGCAUAUUCAUUUAGUCCCGUCAAACGGAUUAUUACUUUUGCUGCAGCUAAUAUAAAGGGAGUUUGACCAUUUUGGCUGACUGAUGCAGGAUUUUCACAAGAGUCUUCAAACCACUCUUGUUAAACUCGAUCUCAAAUCAAGUAAGACUACCCGCUGAACUUAAGCAUAUCAAUAAGCGGAG